GGGCCCGCACAAGCGGUGGAGUAUGUGGUUUAAUUCGACGCAACGCGCAGAACCUUACCCAGUCUUGACAUCCCUGGAACCCCAUAGAGAUAUGGUUUCCGCCCUAACAGGCGGUCAGGUGACAGGUGCUGCAUGGCUGUCGUCAGCUCGUGUCGUGAGAUGUUCGGUUAAGUCCGGUAACGAGCGCAACCCACGUCUUUAGUUGCCAGCAUUUAGUUGGGCACUCUAGAGAGACUGCCGGUGAUAAACCGGAGGAAGGUGUGGAUGACGUCAAGUCAUCAUGCCCCUUACAUCCUGGGCUACACACGUACUACAAUGCUACGGACAAAGGGCAGCAAGUUCGCGAGGACAAGCAAAUCCCAUAAACCGUGGCUCAGUUCAGAUCGUAGGCUGCAACUCGCCUACGUGAAGGAGGAAUCGCUAGUAAUCG
RNAcentral lists this ribosomal RNA (430 nucleotides) under uncultured bacterium. RNAcentral describes it as "bacterial SSU rRNA". It matches the Rfam family "Bacterial small subunit ribosomal RNA", at positions 917 to 1344 of the family's 1533-position model. The record is from RNAcentral.